GGAGGAUGGGGGUGGGGGUGGGGGUGGGGGUAAGGGGCGGAGAGCUCUGGGGAAGGAGUUGGAGGAGGAGGAGGGUGGAGACCGAGAGCAGGGACUGGCAGGCGAGUCAGUGGCUAGCUGAGAGGUACCCCGAGAGGGAGGCGCGUGGAGCUAGGAGUUGAGCUGACAACCCACAUGUCAAAUCCACUUUAGGACAAACUAGGUCAAGCUCCAUCCCGAGCCAGGGGUUUCCCCGCCCCCGCGGGGCACCGGCUAGGGGUAGCCCGCUCUGGUUCUAGCUGAGCUGGGGUAUAGUCUUCUUCCUCUUCCUGGUCCUGGGAGUCUGGGAGCGAGGGAAGACCGCCUCUAAGCGUUUCCCUUUCCUCUCGUCUCUCCCUCUAGUCAUCUCCUUUACCUAUCCUAGUGCCUAGGUACUCCAUAGAGGAAUUACGUUUAUUCAGAACUUAUUAACUGUUCUCUCGGUGGGAAAACUGUUUUUACCGCGCUUUCACUCCUCCCCACCCCCAUCGCCAGUUUCCAAUCCUCUUGCUAACCAGCCGGUCAUAUCUGCUAUUUCUAAAAUCUUGUAAACAAAAGAGAUGUGGUGGAAGCGGAGAUGAGGGAGUCCUGGGAUGGCGGUGAACUAAGACUGGCGCUUAUUGCCUCACAAGGACCGGGGAAGGAAAUUGUGCAGCUAUCCUUGGAGAGUUUUCUUUUUCCUCUGUGCCUCAGGGAAGCAAGAUUGGAAAGAAAACCUAGGGUCACUUACCUCUUGGUGCAGGAGAGUAUGUUGCAGCGGUUUGGUGGUCCUGCCUAGUUGCCUUCCUGGAAAACUCCCUCAACCUGUCAGAGUGAGAGGCAAAUUGUGGCAAGCCACUCGAGAAAGAGAUCAGGUGAGUAUUCUGCAGGUGUGGGCUGCACUGUUACCACACCUGGGCUACGCCACCCUUAUUACAAGCCUAAACAUACAACUUUCACCCUUACUCUCAGAUGUCAUAUGGGGACAAACCCUGCAAGGGCUUAAGGACAGCUG
RNAcentral lists this long non-coding RNA (1012 nucleotides) under Sarcophilus harrisii (Tasmanian devil). RNAcentral describes it as "lncRNA (ENSSHAG00000028865.1)". Lineage: Eukaryota; Metazoa; Chordata; Mammalia; Dasyuromorphia; Dasyuridae. The record is from RNAcentral.